This 507-nucleotide ribosomal RNA is filed under the name uncultured bacterium. RNAcentral's name for it is "bacterial SSU rRNA". It matches the Rfam family "Bacterial small subunit ribosomal RNA", at positions 28 to 526 of the family's 1533-position model. The record is from RNAcentral.
GACGAACGCUGGCGGCGUGGAUUAGGCAUGCAAGUCGAACGGUAUCAUCCUUUCGGGGGUGAGAGAGUGGCGAACUGGUGAGUAACACGUAGGUUAUCUACCCUCAAGACGGGGACAACCCAGGGAAACUUGGGCUAAUACCGGAUGUGAGCAACUUUUAGUUGUUUGAAAGGUGGCGUAAGCUGUCGCUUGGGGAUGAGCCUGCGUCCUAUUAGUUAGUUGGUGAGGUAACGGCUCACCUAGGCAAUGAUAGGUAGGCGGCCUUAACGGGUGGUCGCCCACACUGGGAUUGAGAUACGGGCCCAGACUCCUACGGGAGGCAGCAGUCGAGAAUAGUCUACAAUGGUCGGAAGACUGAUAGUGCGACGCCGCGUGAACGAUGAAUCCCUUCGGGGUGUAAAGUUCUUUUAUAUGUGAGCAGUGCUUCUUAUAUUAACAGUAUGGGGAGAGAGAUAUUAGCAUAUGAAUAAGCAACGGCUAACUCCGUGCCAGCAGCCGCGGUAAACU